RNAcentral lists this ribosomal RNA (492 nucleotides) under uncultured bacterium. RNAcentral describes it as "partial 16S ribosomal RNA". It matches the Rfam family "Bacterial small subunit ribosomal RNA", at positions 28 to 507 of the family's 1533-position model. The record is from RNAcentral.
GAUGAACGCUAGCUACAGGCUUAACACAUGCAAGUCGAGGGGAAACGACAUCGAAAGCUUGCUUUUGAUGGGCGUCGACCGGCGCACGGGUGAGUAACGCGUAUCCAACCUGCCCAUCACUUGGGAAUAACCUUGCGAAAGUAAGACUAAUACCCAAUGAUAUCCCACGAAGGCAUCGGAAUGGGAUUAAAGAUUUAUCGGUGAUGGAUGGGGAUGCGUCUGAUUAGCUUGUUGGCGGGGUAACGGCCCACCAAGGCAACGAUCAGUAGGGGUUCUGAGAGGAAGGUCCCACACAUUGGAACUGAGACACGGUCCAAACUCCUACGGGAGGCAGCAGUGAGGAAUAUUGGCCAAUGGGCGAGAGCCUGAACCAGCCAAGUAGCGUGCAGGAAGACGGCCCUAUGGGUUGUAAACUGCUUUUAUAAGGGAAUAAAGUGGGUCACGUGUGACUUUUUGCAUGUACCUUAUGAAUAAGGACCGGCUAAUUCCGUG